AGUGGCGAACGGGUGAGUAAUAUAUCGGAACAUGUCCGGAAGUGGGGGAUAGCUCGGCGAAAGCCGGAUUAAUACCGCAUAUGCUGAGGGAAAGCGGCGCUUUCGGAGUGGCCGAUAUCGGAUUAGCUAGUUGGUGAGGUAAAGGCUUACCAAGGCGACGAUCCGUAGCUGGUUUGAGAGAACGACCAGCCACACUGGAACUGAGACACGGUCCAGACUCCUACGGGAGGCAGCAGUGGGGAAUUUUGGACAAUGGGGGAAACCCUGAUCCAGCCAUGCCGCGUGAGUGAAGAAGGCCUUCGGGUUGUAAAGCUCUUUCAGACGGGAAGAAUGACGGUACCGUCAGAAGAAGCACCGGCUAACUACGUGCCAGCAGCCGCGGUAAUACGUAGGGUGCGAGCGUUAAUCGGAAUUACUGGGCGUAAAGCGUGCGCAGGCGGUUUUGUAAGACAGGUGUGAAAUCCCCGGGCUUAACCUGGGAACUGCAUUUGUGAC
Molecule: ribosomal RNA, 495 nt
Filed under: uncultured soil bacterium
Lineage: Bacteria
Description: bacterial SSU rRNA
Rfam family: Bacterial small subunit ribosomal RNA
Source: RNAcentral